This is a non-coding RNA of Potamilus streckersoni, 80 nucleotides long. Lineage: Eukaryota; Metazoa; Mollusca; Bivalvia; Unionida; Unionidae. The record is from the annotation of a GenBank genome assembly.
GCUCCGAUGGCCUAGUGGUUUGAGCGUCCGCCUCGGAUGUUGAAGGUCGUGGGUUCGAUCCCAGCUACAUAUCUGCGGCA